CNGUAACGAUGUCGAUUUGGAGGUUGUGCCUUGAGGCGUGGCUUCCGGAGCUAACGCGUUAAAUCGACCGCCUGGGGAGUACGGCCGCAAGGUUAAACUCAAAUGAAUUGACGGGGGNCCNCCCCAGCGGUGGAGCAUGUGGUUUAAUUCGAUGCAACGCGAAGAACCUUACCUACUCUUGACAUCCAGAGAACUUAGCAGAGAUGCUUUGGUGCCUUCGGGAACUCUGAGACAGGUGCUGCAUGGCUGUCGUCAGCUCGUGUUGUGAAAUGUUGGGUUAAGUCCCGCAACGAGCGCAACCCUUAUCCUUUGUUGCCAGCGAUUCGGUCGGGAACUCAAAGGAGACUGCCGGUGAUAAACCGGGGGAAGGUGGGGAUGACGUCAAGUCAUCAUGGCCCUUACGAGUAGGGCUACACACGUGCUACAAUGGCGUAUACAAAGAGAAGCGACCUCGCGAGAGCAAGCGGAACUCAUAAAGUACGUCGUAGUCCGGAUUGGAGUCUGCAACUCGACUCCAUGAAGUCGGAAUCGCUAGUAAUCGUAGAUCAGAAUGCUACGGUGAAUACGUUCCCGGGCCUUGUACACACCGCCCGUCACACCAUGGGAGUGGGUUGCAAAAGAAGUAGGUAGCUUAACCUUCGGGAGGGCGCUUACCACUUUGUGAUUCAUGACUGGGGUG
RNAcentral lists this ribosomal RNA (679 nucleotides) under uncultured bacterium. RNAcentral describes it as "bacterial SSU rRNA". It matches the Rfam family "Bacterial small subunit ribosomal RNA", at positions 801 to 1482 of the family's 1533-position model. The record is from RNAcentral.